Molecule: long non-coding RNA, 638 nt
Organism: Strongylocentrotus purpuratus (purple sea urchin)
Lineage: Eukaryota; Metazoa; Echinodermata; Echinoidea; Camarodonta; Strongylocentrotidae
Exons: 2
Source: RefSeq, a predicted model, not a curated record
UAAACAGAGUCCUUAUCCACAGAACUAAAAAUAGAAGAAAAACACAGUCAGACCGCAGGUCGUAUGCUAAUGAGCAAAACCGGCCUGUUUUAUUUCCAAUCCCGCGAGCGCUCGCUCCUGUCAUCUAACAUCUCGCGAGUCACGAGAUUUUUGUACCGUGUACUGCGAGUGCAGUUUAAGAGAAAACCAAGCUUUCUGCGGUCGCAAUGUUUAGGAGAUGACAGAUUCAUGUAUAUGGUGACUCAAUUGUUCGUGGUGUAAGUUUUGAUCAGGAUCAGUUUGGUGGCAAAAUAUUCUGCUAUCCGGGUGCCACUGUUAGGAAUCUUCGACAGAUAAUUAGAGCACAAACAGACUUUGACUCCACAGUGGAUGCAGUUGUAAUCCAUAUUGGAACUAACAAUCUUGGCAAUAGUGUCUGGGAAAGAACUGGAGGACAAUAUAGAGAUUUGAUUUUUAGUGUACGUGAGAAGUACAGAGAAUCAAGAAGCUGUGAGAAUGUAAAAACAACACAUUUACAGAAUCCUACCUCUGUGUCUUUAAUAGAAUCUGAUAACAGUGAUGAUUCUGAUUAUACAUCUAGUGAUGAAAGUGAUUUGGAAAUUAAUGACAGAGAUAUGCAGGUUGAUGAUGAUGUACAU